RNAcentral lists this ribosomal RNA (366 nucleotides) under uncultured Geobacteraceae bacterium. Its description in RNAcentral is "bacterial SSU rRNA". It matches the Rfam family "Bacterial small subunit ribosomal RNA", at positions 466 to 831 of the family's 1533-position model. The record is from RNAcentral. Lineage: Bacteria; Pseudomonadati; Thermodesulfobacteriota; Desulfuromonadia; Geobacterales; Geobacteraceae.
GGUUUGACGGUACCUUUAAAGGAAGCACCGGCUAACUCCGUGCCAGCAGCCGCGGUAAUACGGGGGGUGCAAGCGUUGUUCGGAAUUAUUGGGCGUAAAGCGCGUGUAGGCGGUCUGAUUAGUCUGAUGUGAAAGCCCUGGGCUCAACCCAGGAAGUGCAUUGGAUACUGUCAGACUUGAAUACGGGAGGGGGUAGUGGAAUUCCUAGUGUAGGAGUGAAAUCCGUAGAUAUUAGGAGGAACACCGGUGGCGAAGGCGGCUACCUGGACCGAUAUUGACGCUGAGACGCGAAAGCGUGGGUAGCAAACGGGAUUAGAUACCCUGGUAGUCCACGCCGUGAACGAUGAGAACUAGGUGUCGCGGGUA